Chytriomyces cf. hyalinus JEL632 is the source of this 73-nucleotide non-coding RNA. Lineage: Eukaryota; Fungi; Chytridiomycota; Chytridiomycetes; Chytridiales; Chytriomycetaceae. The record is from the annotation of a GenBank genome assembly.
GUUCUCGUGGUGUAGUGGUUAUCACACAAGUCUAACACACUUGUGGUCCCCGGUUCGAUCCCGGGCGAGAACA